This 323-nucleotide ribosomal RNA is filed under the name uncultured eukaryote. Its description in RNAcentral is "partial 18S ribosomal RNA". It matches the Rfam family "Eukaryotic small subunit ribosomal RNA", at positions 1470 to 1796 of the family's 1831-position model. The record is from RNAcentral.
CCCUUAGAUGUUCUGGGCCGCACGCGUGCUACACUGAGUGGAUCAGCGGGUCAGGUUGCGCGAAAGCGUUUCCUAAUCUUUAAAUCCGCUCGUGAUGGGGAUUGACGGUUGCAAUUUUCUGUCAUGAACGAGGAAUACCUUGUAAGCGCGGGUCAUCAUCCCGCGCUGAAUACGUCCCUGCCCUUUGUACACACCGCCCGUCGCUCCUACCGAUUGAAUGGUCCGGUGAAAUCUUCGGAUUGAGACUUUGUUUUCUUCACGGAAAACGCUGUUUUAAAAAGUUGAUUAAACCUUACCAUUUAGAGGAAGGUGAAGUCGUAACA